GCCUGACGGCAAAAAGGGGACGGAGGGGAUUAAGUCGUUUGUGGCACAAACGACUUAAUCCCCUCCGUCCCCUUUUUGAUCAUUU
Molecule: microRNA precursor, 85 nt
Filed under: Stenotrophomonas sp. CC22-02
Lineage: Bacteria; Pseudomonadati; Pseudomonadota; Gammaproteobacteria; Lysobacterales; Lysobacteraceae
Description: microRNA mir-598
Source: RNAcentral